UAGAAAUGAUACUCUUGCCAUUUUCCAGAUGAAGCUCCCACAGCUCGGGGCGACCCUCCGACCCGAGCUGCAUCCCCUGCCCACCCGGCCGGUCGUGGAUGGCUUGGUCGGGUUCCCGUGAAUGCAGAACUUGAGGCCUUGAGGGCAGGUGGUUUGUCUGGGGAGGUGGUCCCCAGGAAGCCAGAGCCAGACACAGAUGGCGGAAAAGCUGAGGAGAAGCUGCUUUGUCCAUGGCUGAGUAGCCUUCCUGGGCUAUGAGUUUCUGCCAGAUCACCAACAGCUGUGCCCAGUUUGUGCCAGCCAAAACCUGAACCACAGGCUUCUCUCUGGUUAAGUACAGUAUGGUCUAGGGGUAGCUGAAGCUUCCAGCUGGAGAAGGCUGGAGAAGAUCUUGGAGCAAACCCCUGCAGGGGCCACACACCUGCUGCAUCCUGGAGAAAGUGAAUGUCGCCUGUGGACUUCCUGUUGACGGAGGCAGGAAGCUCUGGGGUGCAGCCCAGCCCUUUGAAUGGUCUCCAGCAUCCGCUGGCUCUGGGACUUCACGCUCUGCUCAAUAGAAUCACUUUACCGGGCAUGCCACAAUGGUGAUUCAUCUCACCCGGGAGUCACAGCCCCGCUCCUGCGGCCGUCUAAAGGUGCUGAAAUGCACAACUCCUGUGUGCACUUACGAACUUCUCAGUGCACUGGUGCUGCGGGCCUCUUUCGUUCCAGGCAGAAAUUCAAGAGACCUGGAUUCCAAUCAGAUACUCGUCACUAACCGGCCUCGAGCAAGGCUUCGUUCGGUGUCUCCUGUUUUUAGAACGGGGACUAGAUCCCAUCUCUGUGAUGUGGACGGAGCACAGGGCUGUGCGACAGGAAUGGGGGUUUCAGCUUUGGCUCUGUCACCUGCCACCUGGGCAAGGCAUUCACUUAUGUCUCAGUGCCUCACGCUGUGGGAUGACAUGGCUGGAGAUGAUUCGUGUCCUUCAGGGUGUGACCUGAAGAACCCUUGUCCCCUAAGCAGCUAUCGAAAGAAGUCCUGGGAAAGGUU
This 1030-nucleotide long non-coding RNA is filed under the name Equus asinus (donkey). Its description in RNAcentral is "lncRNA (ENSEASG00005030612.1)". Lineage: Eukaryota; Metazoa; Chordata; Mammalia; Perissodactyla; Equidae. The record is from RNAcentral.